GGGGUUGUGGCUCAGAGGUAGAGUGCUUGCCUGCCACACAUGAGGUACUGGGUUCAAUCCUCAGCACCA
RNAcentral lists this transfer RNA (69 nucleotides) under Ictidomys tridecemlineatus (thirteen-lined ground squirrel). RNAcentral describes it as "Spermophilus tridecemlineatus (thirteen-lined ground squirrel) tRNA". It matches the Rfam family "tRNA". Rfam says of the family: Transfer RNA (tRNA) molecules are approximately 80 nucleotides in length. Lineage: Eukaryota; Metazoa; Chordata; Mammalia; Rodentia; Sciuridae. The record is from Rfam by way of RNAcentral.